RNAcentral lists this unclassified non-coding RNA (245 nucleotides) under uncultured fungus. Its description in RNAcentral is "sequence contains ITS1". The stretch from base 1 to 96 matches the Rfam family "5.8S ribosomal RNA", at positions 49 to 154 of the family's 154-position model. Lineage: Eukaryota; Fungi. The record is from RNAcentral.
UAAAGUGCGAUAUUUAGUGCGAUUUGCAUGAAUCUGUGAGUCAUCGAGUUUUUGAACGCAUCUUGCGCCCGUAAGGGCAUGUCCUUUUGAGUACCGAUUAACACCUUUGUUGACAAGUGUCUUUGACCUCGUCUAAAUGGAUAGUCUCUUUUAAACAGAGGGUAGUGUGCCAAGUUGCUCGUCAACUGACCCCUAUCCAAUGUUCUUCACGGUCUCAGAGUGGCAAGAUUACCCGCUGAACUUAA